This 195-nucleotide ribosomal RNA is filed under the name Salmonella enterica subsp. enterica serovar Infantis. Its description in RNAcentral is "partial 16S ribosomal RNA". It matches the Rfam family "Bacterial small subunit ribosomal RNA", at positions 1 to 203 of the family's 1533-position model. RNAcentral also lists the same sequence under 7 other names. The record is from RNAcentral. Lineage: Bacteria; Pseudomonadati; Pseudomonadota; Gammaproteobacteria; Enterobacterales; Enterobacteriaceae.
AAAUUGAAGAGUUUGAUCAUGGCUCAGAUUGAACGCUGGCGGCAGGCCUAACACAUGCAAGUCGAACGGUAACAGGAAGCAGCUUGCUGCUUUGCUGACGAGUGGCGGACGGGUGAGUAAUGUCUGGGAAACUGCCUGAUGGAGGGGGAUAACUACUGGAAACGGUGGCUAAUACCGCAUAACGUCGCAAGACCA